UGAAAGUUUUAUUCUUGCUUGUUUAUUCACUAUUUCUUUAUAUUAUAUGUAAGUUUUGUUUACUUAAUGUAUCCUAUUUGCAGUAAUUUUAUUUAUUAAUCAAGUGAUUUUGGAAUUAGUAAUUGAUUUAGUUUUGUCUAAUUUCGUGCCAGCAGACGCGGUUACACGAUUUAUACAAGUGAAUAUUAUUGAUUAAUCAGUUAAUUAAAAUUUGAGAAGGGAGUUAUUAUAAAUUUAUAAGGUGAAAUAUUAAAUUUUAAAAAAUCUCUUUUUAUGAAUCUGUGAAACUUAAUUAAUAAACUAGGAUUAGAUACCCUAUUAUUUUAAGUGUUAAUAAUUCUUAUCAGGGUAUUAAUAGUUAAGUUCUUUAAACCCAAAGAAUUUGGCGGUAUUUUAUUCCAUUUAGAGGAACCUAUCCCGUUAUUGAUAAUACACGAUUUAUUUUACUUAAUUUAUUUGUUUGUAUAUCUCCGUUAUCAGAAGAUCUUUUUAGAGUUUUAAUUUUCUAGCUUUUAGAUUUUAAAAUAUUUCAGGUCAAGGUGCAGCUUAUAGUUAAGAGGUGGUGGGUUACAAUAAAUUCUUGUUUAUACGGAUUUUGAUUGUGAAAAGAUUAAUGAAGGUGGAUUUAAUAGUAAUUUGAUUUAUUUAAUUCAAUUGAUAUUGGCUCUGGAGUGUGUACACAUCGCCCGUCACUCUCAUUAUUAGUUAUUAUACUUAAAGGUUGUUAGUUUUAGAAUUAGAUGAGAUAAGUCGUAACAUAGUAGAUGUACUGGAAAGUGUAUCUAGUAAGAU
RNAcentral lists this non-coding RNA (792 nucleotides) under Longzhouacris mirabilis. Lineage: Eukaryota; Metazoa; Arthropoda; Insecta; Orthoptera; Acrididae. The record is from RNAcentral.